GCUCUUAGUCAAGAUAAUCUGGAAAAGCCUGUAGAAAUUCCUAGUGGUAAUAAGACUGAUGGGGUGCCAUCCGAGCCGGGCAAUUCAGAAGGUGUAGAGGGAAGCAUCCCAAGCCCUGAUAAUGCAUCCCAAGCUUCCUCCAUUUCACCUGCUGAGGGUGUAGAAGAUAAUGCUUUGCAAUGUGGUGAAGAAGGGCGGGGGUCGGGUGAUGCAAUAUGUGGUCCUUUAUUUUUUUCGGAUGAUUCUCUCAAGGCAUCUGGGGCUUUGAUGCCUGGAUCAAAUGAGUCUGAGUUGGUAAUUUUAAGUCGGAUACAUCAUUCUCCUGAAAGUACACAUUGAGACAAUUUCUCUAUGUUCUUUAAUGCGUUUUGCGUAAAAGUUAUUGUUUGCUUUCCCAAUUUUUGUUGCUUCUCUUUUUAUCAAGGAAUAAAAGGAAAUCUGCUCUUUGGUUCCUCUGGACAAGGGGUUUUGUGAGCCAUUCAUGUCAUCUGCCAAUUACAAUUCCAUGCUUUCUUCUCAUCUUCUUCCAGCUUGCAUCAUUGUGCUUCGAUGAUCACAUGUUUGACAUCCAUGUUAGAGGCCUGCAUCAAAUAAUUUAUCUUUCAUGGAUACAAGGUGAGAAUUUUAGGUUGAUUUGCUUAAGAUCUGACUGCAUAUGCACAUCGAGUUUGUGAUCACUUGCAUUGGACAUUCUCGGGUGCUUUUCGCAUCACUGUUAUACAUGUCCUCGGAGAGCUUGGACGUGAUACUGCAAUGAUUUUUAGAAGUUCGUCAAUGUCAUGAUAUUCACCGUGUAUUCUGCUAGUAGUAAAAAGUACCUGCAUUUUCACUCACUAUGCACACAAGCUUUUCACGCCCAUUAUACAAGAUGGUUAGCGGCUAUGGAAAAGAUGAGUGUUUUCUUUGUUUUGCGGCCCCCUCUCAAUCCUCCUAGCAUCAAAAUUGGUAGAUUUAAAAAGGAAAAAAUCGAGGAAAAAGAGAUACAAGGAGGGAAAACAAGGUAUCCACCAGAAUAAUAAUGCACAGCAGGGGUUCUGGCUGGUUUUUGCUGCUGUGUUUGUUUUGUUAGCUAAUAAUCUCAUAGUUACUAAACCCAUCUUUGUGGGGAAUCCUGGUGACUGGAUGAUGUGAUUCAUGGAUCAAUUUGAUUAAUGAUUUUUUUAUAUUCAAAUCAACAUUGUUUAAUUAAGAAACCUAAUAAAUACAGAAUAAAAUAUUGUGUUUCACAAGUUAAUUUGCUGAAUUCAUAACUCGGUAUUUAAGUUCGGUCUAGCCGAUUCUUUGACAAUUUAUUAUUAUUAAUAUUAUUUUGUAGUCAUCGGUGGAAGUAACUCAAAAACCAUAUUAUUAGGCAAAUAUUGAGUUUUGACCUUUUUCUUUAGAUGAAAAAGAUUUUUUUGGCAGGUUUGGUUAACGUCUGCGGUGGUUCUCUUGCUGGAACUAAGAAACUCAUGCAAUUAUGAUACACUAAACUCCUCCAAGGUCCCUCGUGCUUUAUCCAUGUUUAUAAUUAACCUACGACAAACAUUAUAGACACAAAUUUAUUGACACUAUUCAGUGAAAUGGCGUCUUUGCUUCUGUUAACAAAAAUCAAAUACAGUGCUAAUUAAUCAUUAAAGAAUUGAUUGAGGGUAUGUGUUUCUUUAAUCACUUUAAAAUGAUCUAAUUGCCUUUCAAAUCAAACUAGCAAUGUCUUUUUAUUUUUUUAAAUACAUAAAAUGACAUUUAUAUUUGAAAAAAAAUAAAAAUAAAAUUAAAUCAUGUUUUUAGAGAUUUUUCGGUUUUUUUUUACUCAUUUGUUUUUGUUAUUACCAUCAAGAGUAUUUUAGUUUUUUAGCAAUGUUUAACUAUUAAUUAAAUUGAAAAAACUGUUGGCCUGUGCCAUGUACGAACUAAUAUUUGAUUUGUCGUAAAUGUACGUUACUUGGUUGCAAAAAAUGCCUUUCCAUCAUUUUGUUAGAAAAAUUGCCAUAUCCUCUUUUUCACAGUGUAACACAUGUCAAUGAUCGUGGAGUGAUUUGUCACCAAUGAGGCAUUCUUUUGUCUCUCAUCCCUUGAAAAUAAAAGGUUCCUCUUUUUUGUUGUUGAUAUUUAACUCCAGUUUUUUUUUUUAAUUUUUAAUUUUAUUUUUGGUUUUUUUAUAAAAAUUUUAUUUAUUUUCAAUUUUUUCCCAUCAAUUACAAUUUUUACAUAAAUUAUGUUUUUCAAGUUCGCCGUUAUUAUUUUGAUUUCUAAUUUUUUUUUCCCUUUAUAAAAUUCAUAUUGUUUCUCAAUUCAUAAUUCAAUCUAAAUUUAUGGUCCCUAUUUUUUUUUUUUUUUAUUAAAUUUAUUUUUAUUUUUAAUUUCACCCUUUAAUAAAAAAAAUUAUUUUUAUUUUUAUGUCAAUUUUAAUCUUCAUUCUUCUGAUUUUUUUUAUCCUUUUGUUAAAUUGAUUUAUUUUUUUUGCAGUUUCACCAUUCAGUCAAAUAUGAAAUUUAAUUUGCAUUUCAAUUUUAAUCUUUAUUUUUUAUUACUAUUUUUAAAUCCUUUUGUAUAAUUGAAAUUCUUUUUUUAUUUUCAUCCUUUAAUAUUUGAUAGAAUGAAAAUUGAGCUUCGUGUUUUUUUUUUUUUUCAUACAGGAUGCUUUGGGUCUGAUGAUCCUGGUUAAGAGUUUGAAAAGUUAACACGGAUUGAUAUUUUUUUAUAUAAAAAAUAGGCUUUAAAAUUCUAUUUAUUUUUUUAUCAGGUUAUUUUGAUCUUAUGGUUUGCGCUCCAAGUUUAACGAGAUUUUCCGUGUUGGCUCAACCUUAAUUACUAGGGUUAUAAAUUUGUCAUAUUAACUCGAGUUUAUCAAGAUUGAUUUAUUUAGAUCUUGUUUUACUUAAUUUUAUAAUUUUAUAUUUAAUGGGCUAUGGAUUAAGUCACAUCAUUUGUCCCCUUUUAAAAACAUGUGUUCCCCAUUUCAUGCUUCCAGUCAUAUCUUUGACCCAUGUCGUGAAUUCUUUUCCUUUUUUAAACCCCACUUGUGGUACUUGAACAUUAUUUUUUAUGUAAUAAUAUAGCACAGUCUCAUAACGAAGCACGGAAAUCGAAGCUAGUUAUAUAUAAUACCACAUACAUCUAAACUGAUAAAAGAAUCAUGUGACUUUCAUAUUUUGAUACUACUAGAUCUUAAUGUUAAUAGUUUUGUAAUAAAAUUCUAGUUGGUUUCGACAAAUCAACCCAACUCAUUAACCCUAGACCGGUUAGGUUUCAUGUCAAACGAGGUUGGGUAUUAAUUCAAACCUUUUAGAUUUGAUAGGUCAACCCACCACUCGAUUUAUAAAUCCUUCCAUGUAUACUUAUUAUUAUUAUUAUUAUGUCUUUAAUUUUAGUCCAAUUUCUACUAGUUCUUUUACCACUGCCUAUAAUACAAAUUAACAAAAUUUAUACAUGUCAACUAUAUAUAAUCUAUAAAUUUAUUUUUUAAAACCGUGUUUCUCCUCCAAACUCUACUUGAAAAUUAAUAUCUUCUUAUUGAAUAUUCUAUACAUAAAUACUUUGAUUUCAUUUAGAGGGGAGUUUUUGGUUACGAGGUUCUUCAUUUUUGAAAUAAAUUAAUUAAAAUUUAAUUACUUUUAAAGUGAAAAUAUAAAUUACUUUGAUUUUUAAUUUUUUUUUAUAACUUUCAUAAAAAUGAGCUUAUGAUCAAUCAUGAUGAUAACUUAGAGGAAAUUAUAUUUUUAUAUAUUUAUGUAAGCUUAUGAAUAAGCCCUUUAUGACUUGGCAAAUUCUUCCUUAUUUACAAAAAAGAACUAAAAGUGUAUAUAUGGUCAACACUUUUUUAAAAACCUAAACACCUAAGAAAUGAUCGAAUUACAUGUUUAACUAAAGUUUGUCUAAUUAAAGUUUUAACUCCAAAAUUCGAACAAAUAAGUAAAAAACAAACUAUUAGCUAAUUUGAAUUUUAACAAAUGAUUAAAAUAUAAUCAUUGCUUACCAUAUUAUCUUUGAAUCUCAGGAAUGACAGAAAAAAAUUUAUUAUUUUUUGCGAUAACUAUUUUAUAAAGAUUACACCAAGAAGAAAUUUAAUCUUAAUGCAAAAAUAAAUAUAAUAAUUAAUGGUUAAUUUGAAUUAAGGCUAAUAUCCCCUUAAUCAAAGUGUUCAACCAAGCCCCAUAUCCGUAGAGCUUUAAUGUUGGACACCAAGAAUCUAAUGAAAUCCCAUGUAAAAUGUAAUCAUGGAAUUUUAAGCGAAUGAUUAAAAUAUAAUCAUCGCUUCCUAUAUUAAUUAUCUUUGAAUCAUAGGAAUGCCAGUAAUUGUUUUUUAAUUUUUUGCGAUAACUAUUUUAUAAAGAUUACACCAAAAAGAAAUUUAAUCUUAAUGCAAAAAUAAAUAUAAUAAUUAUUGGCUAAUUAAAAUUAAGGUUAAUAUAUAUCCCCUUAAUUAAAGUGUUCAACCAAGCUCCAUAUCCGUAAAGCUUUAACGUUGGGCACCAAGAAUCCAAAUCCCAUGUUAAAUCUAUAAUCCUUUCAAUAGAGGGACAAAUCUAGGAUUAUUGAGACAUGUGAAUCAAUUUUAUUUAUUUAUUUGUAUAAGAAAGUGGAGAAACAAAGAAAUAAUUAAAACAUAUCAAGUAAUAUAUUAAUUAUUAUAUAAUUACUUUUUCUUAAGGAGUGAACUUUGACAUUUCUCUAAGAAAAUCGAACUUGAAAUUAUAAUUUUGAAAUCCAGACCAGCUCAAAGAUAUUUUUUAAUUAGGGUGUUUUCCAAAAUCUCUUCCGAGCAUGCAAGAGCACCGAAAGGUGAAUGUGAAAGAGAGGACAACAAAACGCCUCCUAAUAACUACAAAAAAAUGGAGGUAUCUUAAUUUGAGCUAUCAAUUCUCAACUUAGUUUACCGAAACACUUUUCAACAAAAGUGGAAUAUUGGAUCUUCUUUUAGAGUAGGUAAAAGCAUUAUGAAUUAUGGAGAUUUAAGCUUCACAAAUUGCACGCUUUGUGUCCUCCUAGAAUUCUCAUUACACGUAUCAGCCAGGAAGGCUCCAAACCAUGGGCUCCUGAGAUUUUCAAGAGAGGACAACAAAACGCCGCCUAAUAACUACAAAAAAAUGGAGGUUUCUUAAUUUGAGCUAUCAAUUCUCAACUUUGUUUACCGAAAGGUGAAUGUGAAAGAGAGGACAACAAAACGCCUCCUAAUAACUACAAAAAAAUGGAGGUAUCUUAAUUUGAGCUAUCAAUUCUCAACUUAGUUUACCGAAACACUUUUCAACAAAAGUGGAAUAUUGGAUCUUCUUUUAGAGUAGGUAGGAGCAUUAUGAAUUAUGGAGAUUUAAGCUUCACAAAUUGCACGCUUUCUGUCCUCCUAGAAUUCUCAUUACACGUAUCAGCCAGGAAGGCUCCAAACCAUGGGCUCCUGAGAUUUUCACUAAGGGUUGAAGAGACUUCGAGUGAUCUCUCUUUUGCCUAGACCAAUCCACCAAGUAUAAGCCACUGUGGAACCACUAUUUCCACCGAGACAAAAAAAUAAUACACCAACAAAUUUUGGCGAGGAACAAAUUGUAACAUAAACUAAAAAUUAUCGGUGUUUUACUAUGAAAUGUACAGUGCAAUCUACAGUAAGACAAAAUACUAAUACCUUAGUUUUAGUUUUUUUUUAGCUGUUUUUUUAUGCCUUUUGAGAUUUUUUUUUAUUUCUUUUUUUUUCUUUUAACAAAUUUUUUUUAUUUAAUUUAGUUUGUUAAUGUUAAUUUUUUUUUUAGUUAUCAGACUUUUAUGACAUGUUUUUCGGGUUUAACGGAUUAACCUAGUUUGACAAGUUAACCCAUAUUUUUUUUUUCUUUUUAAUUAAUUUUUUUUCCGUUUAGUUUAGUUUGUUAAUGUUAAAUUUCUUUUUAUUUAGUUAUCAGGCUUUCAUGACACAUAUCAUGAGUUUCACGGGUUAACCUGAUUUCACGGGCGAACCCAGUUAAUUCUGGAUUGACCCGUCAAAUUUUUUUUGUUUUUUUUAUUUCAUAAUUUUUUGUUUAAUUUAGUUUAAUAAUAUUAAUUUUUUUUAUUUAGUUAUCAGACUUUCAUGAUAUAGAUCCUAAAUUUAACGGGUUAACAUUGUUUGAUGAGUGAAUUCAAUAUAUUUUUUUUACUUAAUUCAGUUUGUUAAUGUUCAUUGGUUCUAUAGGAAAAUGGAUGGGUCUUUACAAUAUUUUUAGAUAUAAGAGAAAAAGGAUGUCAACAUAUGCAUGAAUAAAAAAUACCACGUGAUUUUAUCCCAAUUUUCUAACAAAAAAAACCUCUGCAAUUUGUUGCAUAUACAGUAGAUUUGACCAUGACUAAAUUAUUUUGAUAAGGAAGACUCACCCUCUCCUGUGAUUAAUCAUCUUUGCUGGGUAGAGAUACGGCGUGAUUUGAUUACCACCAAAAACAAAAUCUGAUAAAUCUUGAUUAAAAUAUGCAACUAAUCCAGGAUUAGUCCCCGACUUUAUAAACGAAUCAGAUGCAUUGCUUCCCAUCACCAUCCUUCAACGAACAGAAGAGCAGUGAGCUUACGGCAGAUUAAACAAAAGCAUUCCAAAAUUUGUUAUCGGUAUGCAUGUAGGUUUCAAUCCCAGUAGAUAAAGAGUUAUGCUUACAUAAACAUACAAAACAAUAUAAUAUUAUUAUUGUUGUUGUUAUUAUUAUUAUCAUUAUUAUUUUUUUGGGUAUUUUUAAAAUAUUGACCUAGUUCUCACGGCUUUAAUAAAUUAGUUAUUAAAACCAAAAUGCAUGCUAAAACACACACACUUGUUGCAUGAAAAUAUGAUUUGAUGAUUUUUAUUUUAUUUUUGAGAUACUGGCCGUAUGCAUGAAAACAAAAUAUUUUUUUUUUGUUUUAUAAUUUUUUGCAAUGUUUUGAUGAAAACAGGGUAUUUUAAUACCGCAUUUGUAUCUUUACAAUAUAAAAAUACAAACCAAUAUCAAGCAAAAUUCUGUAACAAAAUAUACAGAAAAAUCACAAAUUUUUCCAAAAUUUUUUUUUUUGAAAAUUUUUGUGACUAGGUUGGUCUCGGCCCAAAAACAAAUCUAGGCCAAAUCCCACUGCUGCAUGAACAGUGGGCGUGAAUUAUAAUUCACGUCCAUUGUUCAUGCAUGAAUAGAAGGUGUGAAUUCACGCCUAUUGUUCACGCAGUGAACAACUGGGACGAAAAAGAAGAAGAAGAGGAAGAAGAAGGGGGGGGAGAAGGCUGACCUGCGGUGGUUCUAAAGGUGGCGGAGGACAACAUUGUGCAAGCGGUGGCGGCUGAUGAUGGCAUCGACAGAAAGAAAGAAGAAGAAAAAAAUCUGUAAGGGGAGAGGACUUGCGACUGCUGUGGCUGGAUGGUGGCUGUGUUGGCUUCCUACGGUGGAGAUAGCAGCUGAAAAACUAACGGUUAUGACAGUGGUGAUCUGGACGGUGGAGAGAGAGAAUGUGUGAAGAGACAGACGACAGAAACGGAAAAAUUCUAGGGAGGAAAGCUGGUUUGUUGGCUGUCUUUGGACUCAAAUUUCUCACCUCAUGGAGCAUGAAGAUCAAAUCUAUUUAUAGACGGUGAAAGAGAAACACUUUGUUUUUUUUAGUGUAAAAUCUCAGCCGUUGAUUUGACCCGAAAACAUCCUAAUCAUUAGCUCAAAGUAAUAACGAUGACCUACCAGUUUUAUAUAGGAAAAAUGACUGGUCAGAAUUGUUGAUGGGUACAACUUGCCAUUGCUCGUUGUCCCUCAAGGAGGUUCUGGUCCGAAUUGUACAAGCACAGGAUGCGUUGUGGAUUUGAACGAGUCGUGCCCUUCAGAGCUUCAGGUUACUAGUACGGAAGGGGAAAGCGUGGCCUGUAAAAGCGCUUGUGAAGCUUUUGGGUCUCCACAGUACUGUUGCAAUGGAGCAUACAGUGCACCUGCUACCUGCGGGCCUUCUACGUAUUCUGAGAUUUUUAAGAACGCCUGUCCACGCGCCUACAGCUAUGCUUACGAUGAUAAGACCAGUACCCUCACUUGUGCCUCCGCUGACUACCAAAUUACCUUCUGCCCCUCCCCUAACACCAGGUAAACUUAUUUUUCACUGCUGUCAAUUCUCACAACGAUUGGAAGUAGUUUUGUCAAUAGAGACGUUAAAAAAAGCCUGUCAACAUGACUUUUUUAUUUUUAUUUUUUUUAAUUUCAACCUUCAAUCAAAUAUAAAAUUUAAUUUACAUUUCAAUUUUAAUUUUUAAUUUUUUCAUAUAAUUAAAAUUUAUUUUUAAUUUUUAAUGAUAAAAUAAAAAUUCACCUACAUGUUUUUUAUAUAAAAUGCUUUGGUUCGGAUGAUCCUGCAACUUUCAACCUUAGCAACUUUAGCAGACUAACACUAGUUUAAGAUAGUUUUUAUGGUUAUGAUUUGAAAAAAAAUUAUUUUAUAAAAAAUAUAUUUAAUUAAGGUUGGUUUAAUAUUUAUAUAUGUUUGGUUAAAAUUGUAAUUAAAAUUGAGGUUGAAUAAAAAAUAAUUUAAUGUGUUUAAUUGAGAAUGCUUUUUAAAUUAAGGUUAUAAAAUAAAAAAAAUAUAUUAAUAUUAAUGAUUUUAAAUUUAAAUAUUGUAAAUUUAAUUACCACUAUUACAUCAUAAAAUAAAUAAUAUUUUAUAUAAAAUAAUUUUUUACUGUUCCAUUAAAAUAUCUACAAUUCUAUUAAGUAUAAAAUUCAUUCGAUAAAAACUAUAGUUUCCAUGGAUUUUUGAGUAUAUAAUAAAAUUAGAUAAAAUAUUAUCAGGAAUAAAAUUGAGAUUACAGUGCGAGUGAAUUUAAUUCACUCUACACUAGUUUUUUUAAUAAUUAAUUAUAAAAAAAUAAAACUAAAACUAAAUAAUAAAAAAAUUAAAUUUUUUUUUACCUAAAGUUGCUUAACUGGACAUGAAAAAAAUUUAUAUAAGGAAGAGAGUAGCUAAAAAAAAGAAUAGAAAAGCUCUUGAAUAGUUAACCAAAAAAAAGAGAAAAGUUUAGGGAAAUGAGAAAUGUUAUAUAUAUUAUUUAUUAUAUUAAGACACAUGUCAACAAUGUGUAAACCCUCACCAUAUUAUUAUAUUAAUUAAAAAAAAAUUAAGCGGGCGAUUUCUUCCUUUUGCUUCUACCCGUCACUGUCGUUACAUUGACUUGAGUCGAAAAAAACAAAAACAGAAAACAGAAAACCCACCAAACGCAAAAAAAGAAAACCCACCCAACGCCUUGGAAUUACGGCUGUUCGCUAUCUUUAGCACUAUAAAUACUGCUCAUGCUGCUGCACAUAGCACUCAAAAUCUUAACCCUCUCCAAACUGUUCCUUUGGUCAGUCACUUGGUCUUGAAAAAUGGCGAGAUUCUCAAAGGUACUCAGGAAGACUGAUAUUCAAAAGAGACUAUCAGUGCCGACCGGGUUUCUCAGCUCUCUUCCAUCGUUUAAUGGUGGUGCUCAUGCUGUAGAUUUUCAAGCUGUAGAUGGAAGUGGACGUGUUUGGACCUUCAGAUGCUCGAUUCGCAGGAAUGGACAUCCAAAACCAGUUAUUUCAAAGGGUUGGCUCGCUUAUGUUCAUAGCAAGAGCCUUAAAGUUGGUGACAAGGUCCAGUUUUUAAAGGAGAAAAACGACGCUGGCGCCAAAACACAUGCUUACGAGAUUCGGGGUGAGAAAGAAAUCAAGAUAUUUGGUGCUGUUUUCGGAUAUGCACCCAUAAUAUAGCUCCGUCUGCUAAAGACUUCUCAAACAGGGCUUGUUUUUUGUAUCAGUAUUUAACCAAAAAAAAAGCUCAAACCUAGCCAUGCUGUUGUUCUGAGUCUUCUUGUUACGUUGUCUACAUGUUACUGCUGUUUCUAUAUUUCGGUGUUGUCAACUUGUGCUAUUAUCGAAGUAAAAUAAAUUCUCAAUUUGUUCGUGUCAAACAGUGUGAUUGUGAGGCAUUUGACUGUGUCUCAAACGGUGAUUCAAGCUCCAUUUCUAAUUUCUUCUUUUCGCUAGAGGGCACGACUUCUUUUGUUCAUUUUUGUUUUACUCAUGUUCAGUUCUCCCCUUAAUUUCUUUUUCUAAACCAAUCCGACAGAUGACAAAGGAGACGAUGCACCGGAAGGCAGAAGAAAAAUGAGAGAAGGGUGCUGCAACGGAGAAAGACUACAACGGAGGCAACAGCACCAUCACCAACAAGCGAGUGUCUCACCGAUUAGGAGGUGGCCAAUCAGUCAACGUCACGUUAAAUCAGCAUCACCACCAGCAGAAGCAGGAGGUCUGUCACCACUGGAGAGCUGGAAAGUGCAAUAGAUUCCCAUGUCCGUCUCUUGGAGAGCUGGAAAGUGCAAUAGAUUCCCAUGUCCGUCUCUCCACCGUGAACUGCCACCGCCGCCGCCGCAUGCGUCUGUGAAGGAGGGAGGUGGGGGAGGAGCGAAGAGAGGAGUUAUCGGGAAUGAUUCGUCGUCGUUCUCUUGGAGGGGGUAGUAAUAGUAAUAGUAAUUAUUGUAUUAGUUGGGGGCAAUUUGGGCAUAAAGGUCAAAGUGGUAAAAAGGGAAAGUGCGGAGAAAGUGUGCUAAUUGGGUACAAGGGAAUUGAGAUUUUGGUGGUAAGUGUCAGUGUAAUAUUUGCUUUCUUGGGAGCUUAGGUGAUUGGUUGACUCAAUGUGAUUCUGUAGUGUUUUGUGUAAUGGGUUUUUGUGGGUUUUGGAUUUGGUGAUUGAUUUAGGGGGUUUUGAUGUGAGCCGGUGAUGCAUUGUCAUCUGGGGCUGAUAAGCUUUAUACAGGGAGUAAGGACAGGUUUGAGUUUUACUCUUUUCAGCUUGGAUUUUAGCUAAUAUUUUCAGUUGACAUUGAAAUUUAUGGCUGUGAUUGAAUUGUAUUUUAUGCUGUUGAUUUGAGCACUGGUGUUUCAAAUUGAUGUCUCUAAUGUUUGUAUUGGAUCAAUUAUCCAAUUUCUGUUAAAGCAAAGACUAUGAUUAUAUUGAGAUAUUUAAAAGCAAGAUGCGAGUUGCUUCAAGCUUCAAUAUUUUCUUUUCUGUAGUUUUUCCUUGCGGAUACUGCAAUUUCAAUUAGAUAUUUGCUUGAGAGAAGAAAGUUAUUUUUAUCUACUGUUUUUUAAGACUAUGAUUUUGUUGGCCUUCCAAAUGUUGUCAAGGUUAGGCAAGCCUUUCUCAUUGUUUUUUUUUCACUCCAAUCCCAAUUUGUAACAAUGCUUAGAACAAAUUUACCUCCAUGGGAGUGGCUCUGACACAGUUUUUUUUUUUUUGCAUGCAUGGAGUACGCAUGUGUAUGCUUUGUUCGUGGGUAAUUACUUGUUUUUUUGCCGGUACGCAAGUGAUAUUUUUCUUUCCUGGGCCUGUAUUAUCCUUAAAAGUUGUAUCGAUUCUCAUGUUCUCUCGUAUCGAGACCUAAUAUCUCAUUUCUGCAUCAGUUUGUUUCCUUCGAUGAAAAGGGCUGCUUUGGUGCAAGGAAGCAGGGACAUUAAUAAUUCAAAGCAGGGUCAUUUUUUGGUGGUAGGAGAGUUUGUGAUGAAAUAACUCGUCAGGGAAGAAUAUUGAUGCAGAGGCAAUAUACAUCGAAUUUGGUUGACAGCGAGGCGCUUGAGGUGAAUCUUUUUCUUUUUUUCCCCACAUGAACUUUUUCAUUGUUUUCCUGUUUUUUUUUUGCUUGAUUGUAAUUUUAACAUGAGACAUUUAUGUUGUUCUACCUCCUUUUGUAAUUUGUGCAGGCAAGAUGGUACUGCUCAAUUCUCAAUUUUCAGAUCUAUCUUGCGGUGAUUUUACUGUUCCAUCUCUUUUGGGAAUUCUUUGAAGGCAAAACGGUACAACUCUAUUGCCAGUUUUCCAGCUUCACUUUGCUUUAAUUUCACUGUUGUUUGUGCUUGGAUUUUUACCAGUAGCUGAUGAUUCAGGAAAAACGAUGUGUGUGUGUGUUUCAAUCAUCACUAAACGGCAUGUUUAUUAAGCGCCAAGAUUGCUCAAACUUCUACUACAACGUUACGCCUCCACUUUCCUUUUCAAUAUGCGUUUUGAUCCCCUUCCCCUGUUGGCAGCCUACACACAAUACGAUAAUGUUUAGCUGUUACCUUAUGAAUACGAUAAUGGUGCGUUUCUUUACCUUGGCCGCAUCCUUUACCAGAUCAGUUCCACUUGUUAGGAUUGUCAAUUGAGGUGAGUUUAACUAAAAUUUCUUGCUUUGCAUACUAUGUUUUAGGAAAAACGAUGUGUGUGUGUGUUUCAAUCAUCACUAAACGGCAUGUUUAUUUAGCGCUAAGAUUGCUCAAACUUCUACUACAUAAUUACUCCUCCACUUUCCUUUUCAAUAUGCAUUUUGAUCCCCUUCCCCUGUUGGCAGCCUACACACAAUACGAUAAUGUUUAUUAAGCCCGCUGUUACCUCGGAGAGCUUGGACGUGAUACUGCAAUGAUUUUUAGAAGUUCGUCAAUGUCAUGAUAUUCACCUUCUCAAAUGCAUGGAUGGGAUGGAAAUAAUGGCGUGUUUAGGGAUGAACCACAUGCAUAUGGGCAAGAAUGGGACCAGAAUAGGCAUCAGUUGAAUGGUAGGGGAUGGGAAACUGGCACUGAUAUAUGGAAAACACAAAAUGGUGAUGUGAAUAUGGACUCGCCAGCAGCUUCUGUGAAAGAGGAUUUUCCAGUGCAGGCACCUAUGGAGAAUCUUUCGGCUGGACAAGUAGGUCACGAGUCGCAAAAUGAAAAUACUCAUCAAAAGGUCCAAGCUGAAAUUGUAGAAACAAAGUCAGCUGUUGCUUCAGCAAAAGAAUCUUCGAGGUCUAUGCCUAAAACUACCCUUGAGAAGAUGCCUGAUCCGCCUAAAAUGCAAAGUAGUGAUGAUAGGAGUCAUUUUGCCCGUUCUUAUUUCUCUAAGCUGGACAUUUCAACAGAACUUGCCAGUCCAGAGUUGUAUAGCCAAUGUAUGAGUUUGCUCAGCAUGGAGCAGGGUGCAAAUGCUGAUGAAGAUAUUGUUAUGCUUGUAAACUUGAAGGCAAGAGACUCUAUUUGUCAUGCACGGCCUUGUAUGUGUAUGCGUACCUUGUUCUGUUUAUAAUUUAUUUUUAUGCUAUUGUGAUGUGAUAGGAUGGUGCAAGAGCAGUGCCAAAAAGUUUCGAUUCCAUUUUCAGCCUUUCACUUCUUCCUGCCACAAAAGAUUCUGUUUUUCAGGUAAAAUCAUCAACUAUAUAACAAAUUAUUUGUGAUUAGUCUGUGCAUGUUUGUGAAUCCAGUCAUGAUCAAUUGGAGUCAUUUGAAGAAGCACGGUGAAUUUUUUUUUGUGACCUUCUAUCUACUUAUUUUUGCUUGAUCAACCAGGAUUUUGUACUUGUUAAGUGGAAGCAAAAAUUGCAUAGGCGUUUAGUUAAUGAGAGUUUAGUUAAUGAGAGCUUGCAGCUUGUGAUGCCUACCUUUCUUUUGCUCCUAAUUACGAUUGCUAGAUCUGUUUUUUUCCAACCCAUGCAUAAUUAUUGUUCAUAUACAGAAAUAUCUUUCAGAUAUACAAGCAUCUUGCCACUGUGUUAAUGAGGAAAAUGCGUAUUUCUAUUGAGAUCUGGUAAAAAAAUAGGGGAGAGAUUGGAUGAAGGAUAAUAACCAAAGGAAUGGAUGGUAUAUAAAGCAUGAUCUAAUGGAUUUGGGCUGCACUUCUUUUUGUUGGUGUUGCAACAUUUGAAUAUCGCUGUCAUUUCCAAUAUGAUUCUGUCCAACUGCAAACAGUAUUUGACUUGGUCUUAACUUUAUUUUUCAUAUUAUGCUUCUCAAUAGUUUUUAGAUUAAUUCUUAAGUGCCAAUUCUUUCACUGAGAUUCUGGUUCCUUCCUUGCAGAGAGCCAUGGAUUACUACAAGAAGGAGAGACCAGGUCUGAGUGGCUUGCCAAUUGUUAAUGGUGGAACAAUAAAUGCUAUUUCAACUACCAAAGUAAAAGAUGAGCCUAUUGAUGAUGGGCAUAAAGCAGAAGAACUGGUUUUAAAUCAGGAUGAAGAAAUGCAUGACGUUCCUGAGCUGAAUUUAGAUCAGAAGAAAGCUGAAGAUGUUCUACUAGCUGAUACCCAUGAGGAACCAGUAGAACUUGUUUCGAAGGAUUAUGCUCAGGCUCCCACCCCCUCCCAGGAUUUUCCUGUUCAAGCUCUUAGUCAAGAUAAUCUGGAAAAGCCUGUAGAAAUUCCUAGUGGUAAUAAGAUUGAUGGGGUGCCAUCAGAAGGUGUAAAGGGAAGCAUCCCAAGCCCUGAUAAUGCAUCCCAAGCUUCCUCCAUUUCACCUGCUGAAGGUGUAGAAGAUAAUGCUUUGCAAUGUGCUGAAGAAGGGCGGGGGUCGGGUGAUGCAGUAUGUGGUCCUUUAUUUUUUUCGGAUGAUUCUCUCAAGGCAUCUGGGGCUUUGAUGCCUGGAUCAAAUGAGUCUGAGUCGGU
This 14324-nucleotide long non-coding RNA is filed under the name Populus tremula. RNAcentral's name for it is "long non-coding RNA (PTRE_LNC001124)". The record is from RNAcentral. Lineage: Eukaryota; Viridiplantae; Streptophyta; Magnoliopsida; Malpighiales; Salicaceae.